Molecule: ribosomal RNA, 728 nt
Filed under: Acinetobacter sp. ANC 5414
Lineage: Bacteria; Pseudomonadati; Pseudomonadota; Gammaproteobacteria; Moraxellales; Moraxellaceae
Description: partial 23S ribosomal RNA
Rfam family: Bacterial large subunit ribosomal RNA
Source: RNAcentral
CCCGAAACCGACACAGGUGGUCAGGUCGAGUAGACCAAAGCGCUUGAGAGAACUCUGCUGAAGGAACUAGGCAAAAUGGUACCGUAACUUCGGGAGAAGGUACGCUGUCGACGGUGAUGGGAUUUACUCCCUGAGCGGUUGACAGCCACAGAAACCAGGCCCCUGCAACUGUUUAUUAAAAACAUAGCACUCUGCAAACACGAAAGUGGACGUAUAGGGUGUGAUGCCUGCCCGGUGCUGGAAGGUUAAUUGAUGGGGUUAGCGUAAGCGAAGCUCUUGAUCGAAGCCCCAGUAAACGGCGGCCGUAACUAUAACGGUCCUAAGGUAGCGAAAUUCCUUGUCGGGUAAGUUCCGACCUGCACGAAUGGCAUAAUGAUGGGGGCGCUGUCUCCAGCAGAGACUCAGUGAAAUCGAAAUCGCCGUGAAGAUGCGGUGUACCCGCGGCUAGACGGAAAGACCCCGUGAACCUUUACUGCAGCUUGACAUUGAACUUUGAUCUUACUUGUGUAGGAUAGGUGGGAGGCUUUGAAACCAGGACGCUAGUUCUGGUGGAGCCAAUCUUGAAAUACCACCCUGGUAAUAUUGAGGUUCUAACUCUGCUCCCUAAUCGGGAGCGAGGACCAUGUCUGGUGGGUAGUUUGACUGGGGCGGUCUCCUCCUAAAGAGUAACGGAGGAGUACGAAGGUGCGCUCAGCGUGGUCGGAAAUCACGCGUAGAGUAUAAAGGCA